Molecule: ribosomal RNA, 497 nt
Filed under: uncultured bacterium
Lineage: Bacteria
Description: partial 16S ribosomal RNA
Rfam family: Bacterial small subunit ribosomal RNA
Source: RNAcentral
GAUGAACGCUGGCGGCGUGCCUAAUACAUGCAAGUCGAGCGAACAGACGAGGAGCUUGCUCCUCUGACGUUAGCGGCGGACGGGUGAGUAACACGUGGAUAACCUACCUAUAAGACUGGGAUAACUUCGGGAAACCGGAUCUAAUACCGGAUAAUAUAUUGAACCGCAUGGUUCAAUAGUGAAAGACGGUUUUGCUGUCACUUAUAGAUGUAUCCGCGCCGCAUUAGCUAGUUGGUAAGGUAACGGCUUACCAAGGCAACGAUGCGUAGCCGACCUGAGAGGAUGAUCAGCCACACUGGAACUGAGACACGGUCCAGACUCCUACGGGAGGCAGCAGUAGGGAAUCUUCCGCAAUGGGCGAAAGCCUGACGGAGCAACGCCGCGUGUGUGAUGAAGGUCUUCGGAUCGUAAAGCUCUGUUAGUAGGGAAGAACAAAUGUGUAAGUAAAUAUGCCCGUCUUGACGGUACCUACUCAGAAAGCCACGGCUAACUACGUG